AAUAGAUACCCGGGUAGUCCACGCCGUAAACGAUGAGUGCUAGGUGUUGGGGACUCCAAUCCUCAGUGCCGCAGCUAACGCAAUAAGCACUCCGCCUGGGGAGUACGGCCGCAAGGCUGAAACUCAAAGGAAUUGACGGGGGACCCGCACAAGCGGUGGAGCAUGUGGUUUAAUUCGAAGCAACGCGAAGAACCUUACCAGGGCUUGACAUCCCUCUGAUCCUCCUAGAGAUAGGAGCUCCCUUCGGGGCAGAGGUGACAGGUGGUGCAUGGUUGUCGUCAGCUCGUGUCGUGAGAUGUUGGGUUAAGUCCCGCAACGAGCGCAACCCUUAUCUUUAGUUGCCAGCAUUUAGUUGGGCACUCUAGAGAGACUGCCGUCGACAAGACGGAGGAAGGUGGGGAUGACGUCAAAUCAUCAUGCCCCUUAUGUCCUGGGCUACACACGUGCUACAAUGGAUGGAACAACGGGCAGCUAACUCGCGAGAGUACGCAAAUCCCGUUAAAACCAUUCUCGAGUUCGGAUUGCGACGG
Molecule: ribosomal RNA, 530 nt
Filed under: uncultured bacterium
Lineage: Bacteria
Description: bacterial SSU rRNA
Rfam family: Bacterial small subunit ribosomal RNA
Source: RNAcentral